GUGGGGAAUUUUCCGCAAUGGGCGAAAGCCUGACGGAGCGACGCCGCGUGGGGGACGAAGGCCUUCGGGUCGUAAACCCCUGUCAUGGGGAAAGAAGGGCGCUGAGGUGAAUAGCCUCGGCGUCUGACGGUACCCCAAGAGGAAGCCACGGCCAACUCCGUGCCAGCAGCCGCGGUAAUACGGAGGUGGCAAGCGUUGUUCGGAAUCACUGGGCGUAAAGGGCGCGUAGGCGGGGAGGUAAGUCGGGUGUGAAAUCCCUCGGCUCAACCGAGGAACGGCAUCCGAAACUGCUUCUCUUGAGUCCCGGAGAGGAAGGUGGAAUUCCCGGUGUAGCGGUGAAAUGUGUAGAGAUCGGGAGGAACACCGGUGGCGAAGGCGGCCUUCUGGACGGUGACUGACGCUGAGGCGCGAAAGCGUGGGGAGCAAACGGGAUUAGAUACCCUGGUAGUCC
Molecule: ribosomal RNA, 451 nt
Filed under: uncultured bacterium
Lineage: Bacteria
Description: bacterial SSU rRNA
Rfam family: Bacterial small subunit ribosomal RNA
Source: RNAcentral